Molecule: microRNA precursor, 207 nt
Filed under: Oryza meridionalis
Lineage: Eukaryota; Viridiplantae; Streptophyta; Magnoliopsida; Poales; Poaceae
Description: MIR812 microRNA precursor family
Rfam family: MIR812 microRNA precursor family
Source: Rfam by way of RNAcentral
AAAAAGACAAACUCUAGAUUUCUGUGUCCAACGUUUAACCAUCCGUCUUAUUUAAAAAGAUUAUAAAAAAAUUAAAAAGACAAGUUACGCAUAAAGUAUUAAUCAUGUUUUAUUAUCUAACAACAAUAAAAAAUACUAAUUAUUAAAAAAUUUCAUAUAAGACGGACAAUCAAAUGUUAGACACGGAAACUCAGGGUUUGUCUUUUU